This is a non-coding RNA of Vicia faba (fava bean), 210 nucleotides long. NCBI's taxonomy places the organism in Eukaryota, Viridiplantae, Streptophyta, Magnoliopsida, Fabales, Fabaceae. The record is from the annotation of a GenBank genome assembly.
AUGCCCACCGCCAAAUUAUUCAUCUCUCUCCUCUGUUUCUCUCUCCUCACUCUCUCCGUCACCGCCCGCCCCUACGUCCUCGUCCUCUCCCAAGAAGACUUCAAAGACGAACCCCCUUCCGAUCCCGAUUCCUCCCCCGAGUGGGACGAGUUCGGCGACUCCGACUCUCACAAAUCCGAAGAGGAUCUCGACCCUGGAUCAUGGCGCUAA